Molecule: ribosomal RNA, 327 nt
Filed under: uncultured eukaryote
Lineage: Eukaryota
Description: partial 18S ribosomal RNA
Rfam family: Eukaryotic small subunit ribosomal RNA
Source: RNAcentral
CCCCUAGAUGUUCUGGGCCGCACGCGCGCUACACUGAACAGUUCAACAAGUCUUAACCUUGGCCGAUAGGUCUGGGUAAUCUUUGAACGCUGUUCGUGAUUGGGAUAGACCUUUGCAAUUAUGGGUCUUCAACGAGGAAUUCCUAGUAAACGCAAGUCAUCAGCUUGCAUUGAUUACGUCCCUGCCCUUUGUACACACCGCCCGUCGCUCCUACCGAUUGAAUGGUCCGGUGAAGCGUUCGGACCGUGGCCUUUGGACGGUUCGCCGUCUGUUGGCUGCGGGAAGUUCGUUAAACCUUAUCAUUUAGAGGAAGGAGAANUCGUAACA